CGGUGACGAUCUCCGGGCAGAUGAGGUGCACGUGGGUGUCGACGGCGCCGGCCGUGAGGAUCCGACCGUUGCCGGCGAUGACCUCGGUGGCCGGGCCGAUGACCAGCUCGGGGUGGACGCCGGGCAUGGUGUCCGGGUUGCCGGCCCGGCCGAGGGCGACGAUCCGCCCGUCGCGCAGGCCCACGUCGGCCUUGACCACGCCCCAGUGGUCGAGCACCACCGCGCCGGUGAUGACGGUGUCGAGGGCGCCCUCGGCGCGGGUCGCCCGGGACUGGCCCAUCGACUCG
This is a small RNA of Micromonospora krabiensis, 287 nucleotides long. It matches the Rfam family "5' ureB small RNA". NCBI's taxonomy places the organism in Bacteria, Bacillati, Actinomycetota, Actinomycetes, Micromonosporales, Micromonosporaceae. The record is from Rfam.